This 504-nucleotide long non-coding RNA is filed under the name Mus spicilegus (steppe mouse). RNAcentral's name for it is "lncRNA (ENSMSIG00000031918.1)". The record is from RNAcentral. Lineage: Eukaryota; Metazoa; Chordata; Mammalia; Rodentia; Muridae.
CAGCAGUGGGCAGCUCAUUGACCACAGAUCCACGAGGAAGUAACAGAGAGAGCUUUGACUUGACCAACUGCACACCCAAACCAGGACAACUAGGAACCAGCUGCGUGUUCAUCAUCCCCAUGCAGCCAACUCUCGGAUCCAGCUUCAGCCAGAAGAGGCUGGAAACAGGACCCAGGGUUCCAGAGCUCCAGACGAGUGCCUCACAGAGCUACCUCUCUGAGCCCCCAGCCUGGGCUGGGCAGGGGAGGUUAAGGCUGGAGCUGCCUUGGCAGUUAGUGUUGGUCUUGCAGUUUCCAAAGGCCUUAGGAGUUCCUGGAGCAAAUGUUUCCUCUCCUAAGAACACUGUAGCAGAUUAAGGAAGGGGCGUGUCCCCACAGUAGCAUUAAAGAGCAGCAUCCAUUACCAAUGGUGGUCUAGCCUGGUAGCUAGAAUAACUCUCCUAGAGUUGAGCCUGUGUGAGGAUCUGGCUCUCCCAGCCCUGCUGGCCACAAGCUUGGCCAGGUU